AAGUCGUAACAAGGUUUCCGUAGGUGAACCUGCGGAAGGAUCAUUACAUUCAGUAGCCUAGCUACUUGUUUACACCCUUGUUUUUUUUGCGCACUUCAUUGUAUCCCUCGGCGGGCUUGCUCGCCGGUUGGACAACAUUUAUAACCUUUUUUAAUCUUCAAUCAGCGUCUGAAUUAUAUUUAAUAAUUACAACUUUCAACAACGGAUCUCUUGGUUCUG
Molecule: unclassified non-coding RNA, 219 nt
Filed under: fungal sp.
Lineage: Eukaryota; Fungi
Also listed under: 1 other name
Description: partial internal transcribed spacer region
Rfam family: Eukaryotic small subunit ribosomal RNA (bases 1-46)
Source: RNAcentral